GACGAACGCUGGCGGCGUGCUUAACACAUGCAAGUCGAACGGAAAGGCCCUGCUUUUGUGGGGUGCUCGAGUGGCGAACGGGUGAGUAACACGUGAGUAACCUGCCCUUGACUUUGGGAUAACUUCAGGAAACUGGGGCUAAUACCGGAUAGGAGCUCCUGCUGCAUGGUGGGGGUUGGAAAGUUUCGGCGGUUGGGGAUGGACUCGCGGCUUAUCAGCUUGUUGGUGGGGUAGUGGCUUACCAAGGCUUUGACGGGUAGCCGGCCUGAGAGGGUGACCGGCAGUCUGAGGACGGAGAACGGCCCCAAUCGGCAAGGGGAGGAGGCAGGGGGGGAAAUGGCGCCAGGGGCGGAGGACGGAGGCAGAAGGGCGGCGGGAGGGAGGGCGGCGUCGGGGUUGUACACCGAGUCGGCCUGGAGGGAAGCGGGAGGCGGGGUAAUGGAUAAAGAAGCCCCGGCUACCACGUGGCCAGUGGCCGAGGAAAUAAUCGGAGAGCACCCUCUGAAC
RNAcentral lists this ribosomal RNA (507 nucleotides) under uncultured bacterium. RNAcentral's name for it is "partial 16S ribosomal RNA". The stretch from base 20 to 332 matches the Rfam family "Bacterial small subunit ribosomal RNA", at positions 47 to 358 of the family's 1533-position model. The record is from RNAcentral.